Paramuricea clavata is the source of this 824-nucleotide non-coding RNA. The record is from the annotation of a GenBank genome assembly. Lineage: Eukaryota; Metazoa; Cnidaria; Anthozoa; Malacalcyonacea; Plexauridae.
AUUUCGAUCUAUGUGAUCUAAAAUUAAACUUAAGCCUCGCUGGAUGAGAGUUAACGAGAGUUCACGCAUUGUUAUGGGGGACAUUUCAAACUCUAGAUCAACAAAAUAAAAGUUUGGUGAGUGUUCCAAUUACUAUGUUUUACAUGAUACACAUACAUACAUACGCAUAUACAUGCAUAAAAUUUUAUUUCAACACGCUUGCCCGGACAAUAAAAUGCUGAUUUCCAUGGGGGGCGUGCAACAGAUUUCAAGAAAGCUCAUAAAACAAUACAUGUAACUGGUCUAUUUUGGCAUCAAUAGUUAACUUAUUCCAAAGAAAUACGCCAUUAUAUGAAAAGCCCUCUUUCCUAAAUUCUGUCUUUGGCCUUGCUAACACUGAAUCUGUGUCAUUAGGGACUGGUCAUAAAGUAACUGCUACGGUGGGCUGGAGGUAAAUCACAAAUUUUGCCAAUAAGUUCGGUGACCCAUCUUAGGAUGUAGAUAAAAAUUUCAAAGCCCAUCUAAUCUUACAAAAAAAGUUUCAUGACCCACCCAAUCUAAAUUGGGAAAAUACACUUUUAAACUUGCAGGUAUGAACAUUGUAAAUAUACACGGCACUGUAUUGACAUACAUAAUUCCACCAAGCUUGACAUACUGAGCUGCUCUCCAGUUGGUUGUAUUUGCUGUGACUCGACCACUUCUUGUUGUUGUAUAAACAAAGUAUUAGCUUCAAUAGCGUCAUUUGCAUUUGAUAAUUUGGAUAUAGUCUUCUUUACUUUUGUUAUUAAUAUCUUUAUUUUUUGAAGUAGACAUGCACGGGUUUUUGUUUGGUAGCCCAACCGUGG